GACUCCUAAGUCCGGUACCAGCUGUAGUUCUCGGUGCUCCAGCCUGCGGACCCAGGACUCAGAGAGCACCAGACAUGAGUCAGAGACAGAGGACCUGCUGUGGGAGGACUUCCUGCACUGUGCUGAGUGUCGCUCCUCCUGCACCAGCGAGACAGACGGAGAGGAGCUGCAGUCUGCCCUGCUACCAAGAAGGAGUACAGAGAUGACCCCUUUCACCAGUUGUGUCCUCUACAGGGUCAUACAUGGCUACACAGCACCAACCCCGGUCUGGAGCGGGUCAGUGCCAUCGUCUGGGAGGGGAACGACUGUAAGAAGGCUGACAUGUCUGUCCUGGAGAUCAGCGGUAUGAUCAUGAACAGGGUCAACCUGUACACCCCAGGUAUUGGCUACCAGGUCUUUGGUAACCUGGUGUCAGUGACUCUGGGCCUGACGCCCC
Molecule: long non-coding RNA, 436 nt
Filed under: Salmo salar (Atlantic salmon)
Lineage: Eukaryota; Metazoa; Chordata; Actinopteri; Salmoniformes; Salmonidae
Description: lncRNA (ENSSSAG00000100951.1)
Source: RNAcentral